This 303-nucleotide ribosomal RNA is filed under the name uncultured bacterium. RNAcentral's name for it is "partial 16S ribosomal RNA". It matches the Rfam family "Bacterial small subunit ribosomal RNA", at positions 507 to 807 of the family's 1533-position model. The record is from RNAcentral.
AGCAGUAGCCGCGGGAAUACGGAGGGUGCAAGCGUUAAUCGGAAUUACUGGGCGUAAAGCGCACGCAGGCGGUCUGUUAAGUCAGAUGUGAAAUCCCCGGGCUCAACCCGGGAACUGCAUUUGAAACUGGCAGGCUUGAGUCUUGUAGAGGGGGGUAGAAUUCCAGGUGUAGCGGUGAAAUGCGUAGAGAUCUGGAGGAAUACCGGUGGCGAAGGCGGCCCCCUGGACAAAGACUGACGCUCAGGUGCGAAAGCGUGGGGAGCAAACAGGAUUAGAUACCCCGGUAGUCCCUGUCUCUUAUAC